UUCUUUUGGCAUUAAUAUGUAGAAAAAAAUUAAUAUUUUUUCAGGCAUUAAGACCUUUUAUGUCAUACUAUACAUUUGGCAUGGAGGCAUUACAGAACCUGGGUCAGGUGACACAGUGGAUUCUUUCACAUGAAUGGACAGUUGGGGACCUCUGGAAUAUGAUGGUAGAAUACUCAUUGCAAAGAUUGAAGGGACAAAAAAAUCUUGGAUUCUUUACUUGGCUUCUUCCGUCAUUAACUUCCCAUUAAUCCAAGAUAUUUGACUUGCCAUGUACGCCUUAACUUCAUUUUUUAGGAUCAUUAGUUGAAUUACGUUUACCCCAUUUGGUUUUCUGUAUAUCAUGUUCUUGUGGAUAGGUCUAACUGGGGUUAUUUUGUAAAAGUUUAAUGCGCUGCUCUCCUGUUCCUUUCUUAUUCUUGUUUGUAAAGGGAGGGUUCUGAGUAGCUGAAGAGUAUGAAUGCAGGACAUAAUUUUUCCAUAUUGAAGUUCUGUCAUACUUGAAGCAAGUUAACUUGGACAAUGUAAAUGCUUGUCUCCUGACUCCUUAUCUGAUUGAAUUGGAUUGUCUGUGAAUCUGACUUGACCUCUGAAGAGUUCUGAAGGAUCUAAUUACAAGUUACAACAUGUAUUUUAUUGAUUAUAUGUGAUUGAGAA
Molecule: long non-coding RNA, 654 nt
Organism: Pistacia vera
Lineage: Eukaryota; Viridiplantae; Streptophyta; Magnoliopsida; Sapindales; Anacardiaceae
Exons: 2
Source: RefSeq, a predicted model, not a curated record